GGGGAAUUUUGGGCAAUGGGUGCAACCCUGACCCAGCGACGCCGCGUGAAGGACGAAGGCCUUCGGGUUGUAAAGCUCUGUUCUUGGGGACGAAUAACAUGACGGUACGCAAGAAGAAAGCCCCGUCUAACUACGUGCCAGCAGCCGCGGUAAUACGUAGGGGGCAAGCGUUGUCCGGAAUUACUGGGCGUAAAGGGCGCGUAGGCGGCCCCGUGUGUCGUAUGUGAAAGCCCCAGGCUCAACCUGGGAAGCGCAUGCGAAACUGCGGGGCUUGAGCAGAGGAGAGGAGAGCGGAAUUCAUGGUGUAGCGGUGAAAUGCGUUGAUAUCAUGAGGAACACCCGUGGCGAAGGCGGCUCUCUGGAAUCUUGCUGACGCUCAGGCGCGAAAGCCGGGGGAGCAAACA
RNAcentral lists this ribosomal RNA (404 nucleotides) under uncultured bacterium. RNAcentral describes it as "bacterial SSU rRNA". It matches the Rfam family "Bacterial small subunit ribosomal RNA", at positions 356 to 774 of the family's 1533-position model. The record is from RNAcentral.